RNAcentral lists this ribosomal RNA (969 nucleotides) under Tetranychus evansi (red spider mite). RNAcentral describes it as "16S ribosomal RNA". Lineage: Eukaryota; Metazoa; Arthropoda; Arachnida; Trombidiformes; Tetranychidae. The record is from RNAcentral.
AUAAUAUAAAAAAAUAUACUUUUAUAAAAUAUAAAAUAAAAAAAAUAAUUAAUUAAUUUAUACCUUUUGUAUAAGGAAAAAUUGAAAUAUUAAAAAAUAUUUAUUAUCUCGAUAAUUAUUAAAAUAAAAAAACAUAUUAAUGUAGAAAUAAUUUUUUUUAUUAAUGUUAUAUAAAGAAAUAAUUUAACUAGUUAUUUUUAAAACAAAAUUUGGAAAAGCCUAAUUAUUUAACUUUUUAAUUUUUAAAAAAAAUAAAAUUUUAAACUAAUUUAUUUUAUUAUAAAAUAUAUAUAUAUUAUAUAAGUUUAAAAAAAUAAUAAAUUUAAAAUUAUUAAAAUAAUUUUAUUAGUAGAAUAAAACAAUUUUUUUUUUCAAAAAAAAAUUUAAUAAAAAAAAUAAUUUUAUUUUAAAUUAAUUUUUUUAAUUUUUAACAAAAUAUCAUCAAUAAAUUUUUAUUGUAAAUUCUGCUCAAUGAAAAAUUAAAUAGCCGAUUUAUCGCUAAGGUAGCAUAAUCAUUUGUUUUUUAAUUAAAAACUUGAAUGAUAGGAUAAAAAAAGAAUUAAAUCAAAAAUUAUUUUAAAAUUAAAAUUUUAUUAUUAAUGAAAAUAUUAAUAUUUUUUUUUAGACGGAAAGACCCUAAGAAUCUUUCUUUUUAAAAAGUUGUUUGGGAGAAAAAUUAGUUUUAAUAUUUAAUUAUUUUAAUGAAAAGAACUUUUUAAUAGAAUAAAUAAAAAGAUACUCUAGGGUUAACAGGAUAAAAUUUAAUUAAAGAACAAAUUUAUUAAAAUAUUAUUACCUCGAUGUUGGUUUUAUAAAACUAAAAAUUGCAAUAAAUUUUUUUAGUUAGUCUGUUCGACUAUAAAAAUAUAACUUGAACUGAGUUCAAAUCGGUGAAAACCAGAUUGGAUCUUAUCUAAAAAAUAAAAAUUUAAUAAUAGUACGAAAGGAAAAUAUUAAAUAUAAUCUAUA